This 885-nucleotide ribosomal RNA is filed under the name Triticum aestivum (bread wheat). RNAcentral's name for it is "partial small subunit ribosomal RNA". Lineage: Eukaryota; Viridiplantae; Streptophyta; Magnoliopsida; Poales; Poaceae. The record is from RNAcentral.
AUGCAUGAGCCUUGUGAUGACACAGGAGAUCAUAGCGGCGAAAACAACGAAGAAAAUGGUGCAAACAGCGAAGAAAACAGCCCAACAGUCCAUCCAUAUUGUAUGUGUCACGGCGAAGGGAGCAAAUCCGCCUCGGGAUCUGGCGUGCCAGCAGCAGCAGGUGGAUCAGCCUCGGGAUUCGGCACGUCAGUAGCGGCAGGAAUAUCUGCCCCGGGAUCCAGGGCGACAGGCGUGACAGCGCGCGGUGCUGCGACAGCGAUGCCCGCGCCCUUCUCCGUGUCGGCCACGCGGCCAGCUGCGGUUGGCAGCAGCGGCUCCACCAGCCCGUGCGAGUCAGCAGCUGCCACGUGCCAGUCUACUGCUGGCCCGAUCGGCUCGCGCUUCGGGAGCCAGCCGGCUGUCUACAAGCGGCGCGAUGCGGUUCGAUCGGCUGGCGCGGGACCGGACGCAGCAGGCACUGGCUCCGGUCGGGCGGGAUCUUCUGCACCGGAUCCGCCUUCUCCACAACAGCCAGCCGCCACAGAAGAUCAGCUAGCAGCGGACCCUGCGGAAACUGAUGGCGCACGCGGAUCUGCCUCGGAUCAGGCGCAGAUUCCACCCCCUGAUCCUGCCAUGGGAUCCUCUGUGGCGCAAAACAAUGCAGCCGCACAGCAGCGUCGUACACGACUACAAUCAGGGGUAACUAAGAAAAUUAAUUACAAGCACAUAACCAAAUAUGGUAUGAUCUGUUCUACAGGUGAACCAGGUGAGCCUACCACACUUGAGGAGGCUCUUGGUGAUGAGAAGUGGAGAAAAGCAAUGCAUGAGGAGUAUGUGGCACUACAGAAAAAUAAAACAUGGCAUUUGGUUCCUCCAAAACAAGGGGAUGGAGUCUUCGACAAUUAG